Molecule: non-coding RNA, 99 nt
Filed under: Clostridium acetobutylicum
Lineage: Bacteria; Bacillati; Bacillota; Clostridia; Eubacteriales; Clostridiaceae
Also listed under: 1 other name
Description: Guanine sequence
Rfam family: Purine riboswitch aptamer
About the family: Riboswitches are metabolite binding domains within certain messenger RNAs that serve as precision sensors for their corresponding targets. Allosteric rearrangement of mRNA structure is mediated by ligand binding, and this results in modulation of gene expression.
Source: RNAcentral
UAUAUAAAAAACUAAAUUUCUCGUAUACACCGGUAAUAUGGUCCGGAAGUUUCUACCUGCUGCCAUAAAUAGCAGACUACGGGGUGUUAUUGAUAAUAU